CAUAUUGUUUCUAAAUCAGUUCUUCUAUCUCAGUGUAAAGUUCCUCUGUAGGUGAUUCUGUCUGAUUUGAAGUGUGAUGAGAUAUUUGGACUAAAAAUGAGACAAAUCCACUUGGUCAGUUAGAUCUUUUUUACAGUACUUUUCUUAGAAUCA
Molecule: long non-coding RNA, 153 nt
Organism: Sphaeramia orbicularis (orbiculate cardinalfish)
Lineage: Eukaryota; Metazoa; Chordata; Actinopteri; Kurtiformes; Apogonidae
Exons: 3
Source: RefSeq, a predicted model, not a curated record